CGACCGGCGCACGGGUGCGUAACGCGUAUGCAACCUACCUUUAACAGGGGGAUAACACUGAGAAAUUGGUACUAAUACCCCAUAAUAUCAUAGAAGGCAUCUUUUAUGGUUGAAAAUUCCGAUGGUUAGAGAUGGGCAUGCGUUGUAUUAGCUAGUUGGUGGGGUAACGGCUCACCAAGGCGACGAUACAUAGGGGGACUGAGAGGUUAACCCCCCACACUGGUACUGAGACACGGACCAG
RNAcentral lists this ribosomal RNA (241 nucleotides) under uncultured bacterium. RNAcentral's name for it is "partial 16S ribosomal RNA". It matches the Rfam family "Bacterial small subunit ribosomal RNA", at positions 92 to 334 of the family's 1533-position model. The record is from RNAcentral.